UACGUAGGGUGCGAGCGUUGUCCGGAAUUACUGGGCGUAAAGAGCUCGUAGGUGGUUUGUCGCGUUGUUCGUGAAAACUCACAGCUCAACUGUGGGCGUGCGGGCGAUACGGGCAGACUGGAGUACUGCAGGGGAGACUGGAAUUCCUGGUGUAGCGGUGGAAUGCGCAGAUAUCAGGAGGAACACCGGUGGCGAAGGCAGCUCGCUGGAACGGUACUGACGCUGAGGCGCGAAAGCGUGGGGAGCGAUCCGG
RNAcentral lists this ribosomal RNA (253 nucleotides) under uncultured bacterium. Its description in RNAcentral is "partial 16S ribosomal RNA". It matches the Rfam family "Bacterial small subunit ribosomal RNA", at positions 524 to 776 of the family's 1533-position model. The record is from RNAcentral.